CAAGUCAAAGUUCUCAAAAACUAUUCACGAGCAAUUUAUCAUUCUCAUGAGAAUGCAACGCUUCUACUGUGUACAUCUAUUGAACAAGUCGACUGUUUGAGAUCAAAAUGAAAUUUUUGGCACAUGUCAUGAUGGUGCUGGCUUUUGCUCAUUGCUCAAACACGUCACCAGUCGAUAUUUAGCAAGAUGUUGAAAAACCAGUUAAAACAUUCAUUGCUUGCAUUUGCUCAAAUGGUCUUGAUCAUGGAGUUCAACGCUAUGGACACUGUUUACAUCAUGAGAGAAUCUGUGCACGACUGCUGGCUUUUGGUCUUUGCUGUCUUAAAUACUGAUUGUUUUACUACAAAAAUUUCUGCACUGAAUUGAACUAAAAAUGAAAAUGUUAUUUGAUCAUUUUAUGCUUAAUAAAUCAUAUAAUAAUA
Long non-coding RNA from Xenia sp. Carnegie-2017, 422 nucleotides. RefSeq lists it as uncharacterized. The transcript has 3 exons. Lineage: Eukaryota; Metazoa; Cnidaria; Anthozoa; Malacalcyonacea; Xeniidae. The record is from RefSeq and is a predicted model, not a curated record.